Pseudoliparis swirei is the source of this 538-nucleotide long non-coding RNA. RefSeq lists it as uncharacterized. The record is from RefSeq and is a predicted model, not a curated record. Lineage: Eukaryota; Metazoa; Chordata; Actinopteri; Perciformes; Liparidae. The transcript has 2 exons.
CAUUCUGUUAUUUCUUGUUUUCAAUGUGUUGUAUUUUAUUUUUGUUUGUUGUUCAACAAUAUUGUUGAGUGUUUGUGAAUUUUAUUUUAAUGAGCCAUUUUUAUUUAAUUUAGCGGUAUUUUUAAAAUUCUGUUUCCUGCGGAAAUUGCUUUCCAUCUAUUGCACUUCCUGUUCCUGAGUCCGUCUCUCCCUCACAAUGGUUUGGUAUUGCUGACGGAAGUGCAAAGACGGACCAGAAGGCAAUAGGUGUGUUUCAUUGUCUUCUGCAGGUAUGUGUUUCCCUUUUGUUCAAGGUUGGAAUUUUCGUUGGUUCUGUUUAAAUUACUUUAGCUCAUGCAGUUAUUUGUUUUGUCCAUUGGGGGUCGCUGUUUUCCCCUUGUAUGUUACAUGUUUUUGAUAAAUUGUUAUUUGUGUUUAGUGUGGUCCUGUCUCCCACACAAUGGUUUGGUAUUGCUGACGGAAGUGCAAAGACGGACCAGAAGGCAAUAAGUGUGUUUCAUUGUCUUCUGCAGCAUAAAUAAAUGCUGGGAAAAUCCAC